This 440-nucleotide ribosomal RNA is filed under the name uncultured bacterium. RNAcentral describes it as "partial 16S ribosomal RNA". It matches the Rfam family "Bacterial small subunit ribosomal RNA", at positions 338 to 795 of the family's 1533-position model. The record is from RNAcentral.
CCUACGGGUGGCAGCAGUAGGGAAUAUUGCUCAAUGGGGGAAACCCUGAAGCAGCAACGCCGCGUGGAGGAUGACGGUUUUCUGAUUGUAAACUUCUUUUGUUAGAGAAGAUAAUGACGGUAUCUAACGAAUAAGCACAGUCUAACUCCGGGCCAGCAGCCGCGGGAAUACGGAGGGUGCAAGCGUUACUCGGAUUAACUGGGCGUAAAGAGCGCGUAGGCGGGAUAGCAAGUCAGAUGUGAAAUCCUAUGGCUUAACCAUAGAACUGCAUUUGAUACUGUUAUUCUAGAGUAUGGGGGAGGUAGGUGGAAUUCUUGGUGUAGGGGUAAAAUCCGUAGAGAUCAAGAGGAAUACUCAUUGCGAAGGCGACCUGCUAGAACAUAACUGACGCUGAUGCGCGAAAGCGUGGGGAGCAAACAGGAUUAGAUACCCUUGUAGUC